CUGACCCAUCGUCGUUUUCCCCAAAACCACCGAGAUCCCGACCUCUCUUCCCACUUCUCUUCUCCCUCACACGCUCUCUGCUCUUGAAGCCAUCGCCGACAUGGUAGCCGCCGAUCAUCUUCUCUUCGUCGAUGCAGCCUCAUCGCCGAUCGCCAGAGAGAUCGCACCGACGGGCCGAGCCUCCCUCUCAAGGUGUGGAGUCUUUUCCUCUUCUUCUCCACUUCUUCUCAUGUGAUCGGAGCAGACGACGCCAUCUUUAGCCCUAAGUCGCCGUUGUCGGGAGGGGAGGAGCUGUCUGCGUUCAUUCCCAUCGCGCUGAUCGUCGGCUCUCGCCAUCCUUCGGUGCUUGAUCGUGCCCUAGAUCCACCAUCGAUGUUGCCUAUGUUGCGAUGUCAGCGGACGCCGCUCGACGCUGUGUUGCUUGACGGACACAGCGCGAUCAUUGUUACUGGAAGGGGAGGAGAUAUCACCUCCUCUGGCAUUCCUUGUGCGCGAUCAUUGUUGAUUCGACAUCUAGCGCACCGCGACGAUUGUCUAGGGGAAAACAUUGGAACAGCUACUAGAUGGAAUUCCUCCGGGCAGAUCACCGUCCUUUGCGUUCUUGCGGCCGAGUAAGGCUUCGGUUGAAGAUUUGGGGCUGUUUGAGGUGAGUAGAGCUCUGUUGGUUAAGGAUUUUAGUAAACUAAUUGCUCUACAGUUGGAUUCUGGAUUUAUUUUGAGGAAGAAGGGGUGUUGUUCCAAGGGUCCAGCUACCCUUUGCUUCUUCCCUCGUCUUCAAGGUGUUGCUGGUCAGUUGCUUGGAGUCAUCCGAUCUUCACCAGAAGAGUGAGUGAUGGAGAGGAGUAUGCUGGUAAUAGAUUGAGUUUUGGCCAGAUUUGUAGGUCAGUGAACCAUCGGAGAAAAGAUUGUUGACAUGGAAUUAAGUUAGAAGGUGAUGGAGAUGUGGGCAGCAGUAAGCAUCACACCCGUGAUUUUCAACAGUGGGUUGCACUUCGAAUGAGGAUCCGAAUUGGAUGUGAUCAUCUGGAGUUGUUGAAGACGGUUGACACGCACUACGUAUAAAGGCGGGUAUUUCUUGCUCUAUCUCUUUAGUAUUUUGACCCUAGUGCAUGAGCUUUAUAUUCAGAUAGAUACUGUAUUUAUCUUGACUCU
This is a long non-coding RNA of Zingiber officinale, 1152 nucleotides long. RefSeq lists it as uncharacterized. The transcript has 5 exons. Lineage: Eukaryota; Viridiplantae; Streptophyta; Magnoliopsida; Zingiberales; Zingiberaceae. The record is from RefSeq and is a predicted model, not a curated record.